AACCAUCUCAGCCUGAGCGCUCCCCUGAGGGCUACCCUCAUACAGGCAGUUGGGUGGGCACAAGCCCUCAAAAGAGCCAACGGCAAGAAGAUCCCCCAAAGAAGGAAAAGGCACCCAGCCAUGGCAGGAGGGCGGCACAACGUGCACUGGGAGAGAAGGCCAUGGAGUUCCUGCUGAACCACUCAACAGCUUAAAAUACAACCAGCCCCUCUCCCUACUGGACCAGCUGCCGGGGAGGGCUGAAACUCUAGCCUCCCCCCAGAUGGGGCUCUGCAACCAGGCCAGGAGCUGUGGUGCACCAACUGGCUACAAGUGGGCAGCAGGAAAGCAGCAUGGAGAGGGGCCACAGUGAAGAGCAACCCCCAGCCACAAGCAGAGGAGCUGCCUGAGCAGAGGGCAGGUAAGCCAGGAAGCUUAAGGAAGCCAGAGACCCUAUACUCCAAGGAUGAACUGACUAGAGGCGUUCGUCAGUCACUGUCCGUUAUGCCCACCCCUGACUCCACCCAAGCCAGCA
This is a long non-coding RNA of Mastomys coucha (southern multimammate mouse), 514 nucleotides long. RefSeq lists it as uncharacterized. The transcript is spliced from 3 exons. The record is from RefSeq and is a predicted model, not a curated record. NCBI's taxonomy places the organism in Eukaryota, Metazoa, Chordata, Mammalia, Rodentia, Muridae.